UAUAUAUAGUGUGGGGCUAAGAUGGGCAGAUGGACAACCAUGAUCCUAUUACCUCUGUAUUCACUGUACUACAGUACCAACGCCAUACGGACAACAGUGUCAUCACAUAUAGAGUUGUCAUAACAGAGACCAGGAAAAGAGGUGGACACUUGGGCUAGUAUUUUAUUUGGAUCCCCAUUAGCUGCUGCCAAGGCUGCUAGCCUUGGGUCCACACAGGCUAGCAGACAAGACUCUGAGGCGAGUGAUGUGCGGUGCGAGUGGUGUGUGUGUUUAGCGAGAGCGUGAGCCAACGAGUGAGAGCAGUGUGUGUGGAGUGAGCGAGUGCAGAGCGAGCCACUCACACGGAGCAUGCCUCUGCGUCCUGCAGCCGGCAAACAUGAGCCACCCAGCUCUCCACAGCAGGACCAGCACACACACUCACACCCCUACACACACACCAACGGCAGCCAGGGGGCCAGCUCUGACAGCGGCAGCUCACGGGAAGAGGACAGCGGCAUUCCCGUUUCUGUCAGUGUUUUCUCUUUCCGUCCCACUCGGGAGCGGAGCCCCAGUGCAGGAGGAGGCAUGGCGCAGGACAAGGGCAACACGUUGGUGAUCCGCAUUGGAAUACCGGACCUGGCACAGACGAUUCUGGAGACCAGGGGAUGUUGUCGACCUUCCAUCCUGCCAACUCCCCUGUGGCAAUGGCAUAGACUAAGAUAUUCAUGGAGCUAGAGGGGGUUGAAGGAGUGUUAAGUAGAAUAAGGACUGUGCAGUAGAAUGUAGGCUUACUUUAUGUUUCCC
This is a long non-coding RNA of Oncorhynchus tshawytscha (Chinook salmon), 783 nucleotides long. Lineage: Eukaryota; Metazoa; Chordata; Actinopteri; Salmoniformes; Salmonidae. The record is from Ensembl.